CCCCCAGAGUUAUAGAGCACGAGCCGGUUCCCAGCCCGAUAGCGAACAAGUAGAGUGAUCGAAAGAUGAAAAGAACUUUGAAAAGAGAGUUAAAAAGUACGUGAAAUUGUUGAAAGGGAAGCGCUUGUGACCAGACUUGGGCUUGGUUGAUCAUCCGGGGUUCUCCCCGGUGCACUCUUCCGGCUCAGGCCAGCAUCAGUUCGCCAUGGGGGAUAAAGGCUUCGGGAAUGUGGCUCUCUCCGGGGAGUGUUAUAGCCCGCUGCGUAAUAGCGUGGGCGGAAUGAGGUUCGCGCAUUCGCAAGGA
This 304-nucleotide ribosomal RNA is filed under the name Fusarium solani. RNAcentral's name for it is "LSU rRNA". It matches the Rfam family "Eukaryotic large subunit ribosomal RNA", at positions 307 to 611 of the family's 3401-position model. Lineage: Eukaryota; Fungi; Ascomycota; Sordariomycetes; Hypocreales; Nectriaceae. The record is from RNAcentral.